UACUCAGAAAGGUGGUCAUCACAUAGACUCACUUGUAGUGACUGCAAGCCUGAGUAGA
Molecule: microRNA precursor, 58 nt
Filed under: Canis lupus familiaris (dog)
Lineage: Eukaryota; Metazoa; Chordata; Mammalia; Carnivora; Canidae
Source: RNAcentral